CCGAAGAGGAAUAGAGGGCGGGUGGGUUCUUCGUUUCUCUGUGCUUCAGCCUGUCCGGGGGCUCCGCUCUUAUGCAGGUGGGCUCUCGGCUCGCUGCUCGGCCCGCAGGAGCGGGUAGCGCUGAGGCGGCGGGAAGGCGGCCCGCCCAGUCAGUCAGUGUCAGUCAGUCACCCACCGUGCCGGUCAGCUGCUCUGCUUCACAGUGAAGGACUGCAGGGAGUUUUGCAGUCAAACCCUUUCUGAAAGAGUGAGGAGCAUGUUUCCCAUCGAGGCGGGUGGUGUGGUGCACUGCAAGGCCUGCCUUGGGAGAGAGACACCAUUGUCAGGAUGUGAACUCAAAUGAUGGAGAGCCAGGAGCAGUUAAAGAGAGGAAUUAGUUCCAAUAUAAAAGGAAAUGCUAGUGAUGUGUACAUGGCAACCAGCAGGUCAGGAGAGCUGCUAUACAGAGGAAUGGGAGCAGCUGAAAAUAGCUGAAAACAAGAAAAGCACAGAAAAGUUUGCUUUUGUUGGGGAUGCAAGAAGCUGCCUGAGAUUCUCAGCCUCCUCUGCAGUCUCGUGGUUACUCUGACGACUUCACUCUUCUGCUGUGGCUCAGCAUGACAACCUGUACCUGGUAAAUAAAGUGUCUGUGUGUAGAAUAACAGAAGCAGCACAGAUGGUAAGGAGAAGGUUUUGAGAAUGCUUUAACAAUACAGAACAGGUCAUUUCACUAGCAACUCAGUUUUACAGCAGUUAAUUGUAUUCUAGAAGGAUAGAUUAAUAUUCAUAUGCUCAAUAGUUGUAACUCCUUUGAUUCCUCUCUGAUUAACACAAGUUAAAGUGUAUUUUGGGGAUAACAACUGAGCCUGUA
Molecule: non-coding RNA, 850 nt
Organism: Meleagris gallopavo (turkey)
Lineage: Eukaryota; Metazoa; Chordata; Aves; Galliformes; Phasianidae
Source: RefSeq, a predicted model, not a curated record